This 992-nucleotide ribosomal RNA is filed under the name Hastigerina pelagica. RNAcentral describes it as "SSU rRNA". It matches the Rfam family "Eukaryotic small subunit ribosomal RNA", at positions 1176 to 1778 of the family's 1831-position model. The record is from RNAcentral. Lineage: Eukaryota; Foraminifera; Rotaliida; Hantkeninidae.
GUGGAGCAUGUGGCUUAAUUUGACUCAACGCGGGAAAUCUUACCGGGUCCGGACACACUGAGGAUUGACAGACAGUAUUCAUGCCGACUGAAUUUCGACAUAUUUCAAAUGUGCGAGUUCUUUCAUGAUUGUGUGAUAGGUGGUGCAUGGCCGUUCUUAGUUCGUGGAGUGAUCUGUCUGCUUAAUUGCGUUUCAUAUUUACGAAUGUCGCUUACGUGAUUGCUGCAGACCUCGUCUCUUUAUUGAGUGCGACGCGUCUCUUCAACUCACUCGCACAUUCUCUUGAACGCAACGAGCGUGACCGCAACCUCUUGUUGUGUAUACCAAGUGUGUCGUUGCUUGCAACUCACACUCCAAUGCACGUAUUUUGGUCACAUUGUCUCGGCCGUCGCGCGCAGCCUCGGCUGUGUCGGCGCCAGCAAUGUCCAAAUAAACUUGAGGGACCGCUGUAACAAUUCUUUUAAACCAGAGGAAGGUUGCGGCAAUAACAGGUCUGUGAUGCCCUUAGAUGUCCCGGGCUGCACACGUGCUACAAUGAUCAGUACAGUGAGCAUCUUUGCAAUACCAGCGUUUGGAGGCCUGGCCAAGUCACUUGUGACUCGGCUUGCAGUCUCUACGUUGCCUUCCCAAGUCUGACAAGAUUUGGAAAUCCAUUGGAAGUCCUGAAUCAAUCCCUAUUGAGCAUUUUUCUCUACAGUGGCGCCAGACUUCGUCCCAUGUCGGUUCGCCUGACUUGUGCGGCACUUGGCGUCUACUAUAUGCAAUUGUCAAUUCAUAGUGGGGACAGACGAUUGUUAAUUGUUCGUCUCGGUCUCAACUAGGAAUGCCUUGUACGGGUCUUUGGUUCACCAGACCACCCGGAAUACGUCCCUGCCCUUUGUACACACCGCCCGUCGCUCUUACCGAUGAACUUCUCUGUGAGUUUGAGGGACCGUCAAUUGUGUGGCAACACACGACGCUAUGGAAACUUAAACGAACAGUGUGAUUUAAAG